AGGGGCGUCUUCGCACGUCGUUUCAGACCAAAUCAAGAAACUCUUCGACUAAGGAAAUAUCUUGAGGUUGAACGUGAACCAGGGGCGAAGGUGUUGAGCAAUGGCAAUAAUAAAUAGCACUAGGAUGCCCAAAGAAGUGUGUCUUCACACAUACUUCUUUGUCUUGGACUCUUCCGCUGCACUAGCAAUUUUGUACUAGGAUUUCUCAAACCUAGUUAUCGUACUUUGAUUUUGAUUGGCCA
Long non-coding RNA from Salvia splendens (bonfire salvia), 242 nucleotides. RefSeq lists it as uncharacterized. NCBI's taxonomy places the organism in Eukaryota, Viridiplantae, Streptophyta, Magnoliopsida, Lamiales, Lamiaceae. The transcript has 2 exons. The record is from RefSeq and is a predicted model, not a curated record.